GCUACCAUGCAGUCGUACGAGAAGUCGGCUUCGGCCGGCAAGUAAAGUGGCGCAGGGUGAGCAACGAGUGGAUAUCUGCCCUUUAGUUAGGAAUAACGUACCGAAGGUUCGCUAAUACCGAAAAUACUAAGUAACUACUGUUGCUUAGUCAAAGAAGGCCUCUGCUUGCAAGCUUUUGCUGAAGGAUGAGUCCGCGUACCAUUAGCUAGUUGGUGGGGUAAUGGCCUACCAAGGCUUCGAUGGUUAGCUGGUCUGAGAGGAUGAUCAGCCACACUGGAACUGAGACACGGUCCAGACUCCUACGGGAGGCAGCAGUGAGGAAUAUUGCGCAAUGGAGGAAACUCUGACGCAGCAACGCCGCGUGCGGGAUGAAGUUCUUAGGAAUGUAAACCGCUGUUUGGAAGGAAGAAUGGGUACAAUUUGAAUAGGGUUGUGCAUUGACGGUACUUUCAGAGGAAGCCCCGGCUAACUACGUGCCAGCAGCCGCGGUAAUACGUAGGGGGCGAGCGUUGUCCGGAAUUAUUGGGCGUAAAGGGCGCGCAGGCGGGGAUUUAAGUCUGAGGUGAAAGUAUGCGGCUUAACCGUAUAAUUGCCUUGGAUACUGGAUUUCUUGAGUACGGGAGAGGGAAGCGGAAUUCCUGGUGUAGCGGUGAAAUGCGUAGAUACCAGGAAGAACACCGGCUGCGAAGGCGGCUUCCUGGCCCGGAACUGACGCUAGGCGCGAAGUGCGGGGAGCGAACAGGAUUAGAUACCCUGGUAGUCCGCACAGUAAACGAUGGGUACUAGGUGUCGGCCGCGAGGUCGGCGCCAGAGCAAACGCAUUAAGUACCCCGCCCGGGGAGUACGAUCGCAAGAUUGAAACUCAAAGGAAUUGACGGGGGCCCUGCACAUGCGGUGGAGCAUGUGGUUUAAUUCGAUGCAACGCGAGAACCUUCACCUGGGCUUGAACUGCAGUUGACUGUUCGUGACAGCGGAUUUCCGCAUGACGCUGCAGCAGUGCUGCAUGGCUGUCGUCAGCAUCGUGUCGUGAGAU
This 1033-nucleotide ribosomal RNA is filed under the name uncultured bacterium. RNAcentral describes it as "bacterial SSU rRNA". It matches the Rfam family "Bacterial small subunit ribosomal RNA", at positions 48 to 1073 of the family's 1533-position model. The record is from RNAcentral.